CCUCAGUGCUGCUCUGCCACCGCCAUGAAACGUCUGUGGGUCGCGGCGCUGCUGCUGCUGUGCGUCUGCCAUGCGGGGGCUGUGCCUGCGCACCAAUCUGAGCCCCAGAGCGAAGACCCCCAGGAGACCCCCCCAGACACCACCACCCUCCUGAGCCGCCACUUCCAGACCCUGAGCGACUUCUUCACCAAAGAGCUGCCCCAGCGCCUGCGGGCGGACGAGAUACAGCAGCAGGCCAAGGCCUAUGCGGAGCGUGCAGAGGUGCAGCUGCGGCCUUUGGCUCAGGAGCUGCGCACCAACGUGCUGGGGCUGUUCUCCUCCUUCCUGGAUCUGGGGAAGACUGGGGGCAUGGAGAAGGACUGAGCCCCAUAGAAACGGG
Molecule: unclassified non-coding RNA, 379 nt
Filed under: Hevea brasiliensis (rubber tree)
Lineage: Eukaryota; Viridiplantae; Streptophyta; Magnoliopsida; Malpighiales; Euphorbiaceae
Source: RNAcentral